GGCGAACGGGUGAGUAACACGUAAGGAAUCUACCUAUAAGCGGGGGAUAACAUUCGGAAACGGGUGCUAAUACCGCAUAAUAUCUUCUUCCGCAUGGAAGAAGAUUGAAAGACGGCUCUGCUGUCACUUAUAGAUGACCUUGCGGUGCAUUAGUUAGUUGGUGGGGUAACGGCCUACCAAGACGAUGAUGCAUAGCCGACCUGAGAGGGUGAUCGGCCACAUUGGGACUGAGACACGGCCCAAACUCCUACGGGAGGCAGCAGUAGGGAAUCUUCCGCAAUGGGCGAAAGCCUGACGGAGCAAUGCCGCGUGAGUGAAGAAGGCCUUCGGGUCGUAAAACUCUGUUAUAAGAGAAGAACAAAUUGUAGAGUAACUGCUACAGUCUUGACGGUAUCUUAUCAGAAAGCCACGGCUAACUACGUGCCAGCAGCCGCGGUAAUACGUAGGUGGCAAGCGUUGUCCGGAUUUAUUGGGCGUAAAGGGAGCGCAGGUGGUUUCUUAAGUCUGAUGUGAAAGCCCACGGCUUA
This 527-nucleotide ribosomal RNA is filed under the name Aerococcus viridans. RNAcentral describes it as "bacterial SSU rRNA". It matches the Rfam family "Bacterial small subunit ribosomal RNA", at positions 97 to 611 of the family's 1533-position model. The record is from RNAcentral. Lineage: Bacteria; Bacillati; Bacillota; Bacilli; Lactobacillales; Aerococcaceae.